AACGCACAUUGCGCCCGGCAGUAAUCUGCCGGGCAUGCCUGUCCGAGCGUCAUUUCACCCCUCGAGCCGCUUUUAGUGGAUCGGUGUUGGGGCACUACGGUAAAACGUAGGCCCCGAAAUGAAGUGGCGGUCCCGCCGCGGUGCCCCCAUGCGUAGUAACGUUUAGUCUCGCAUCGGGUCCCGGCGGAGGCCUGCCGUCAAGCCUUUUAUUCUCAGAAUAGUUUGACCUCGGAUCAGGUAGGGUUACCCGCUGAACUUAA
This 260-nucleotide unclassified non-coding RNA is filed under the name uncultured Ascomycota. RNAcentral's name for it is "sequence contains ITS2". The record is from RNAcentral. Lineage: Eukaryota; Fungi; Ascomycota. RNAcentral also lists the same sequence under 2 other names.